GAUGAACGCUGGCGGCGUGCCUAAUACAUGCAAGUCGAGCGAACAGAUGAAGUGCUUGCACUUCUGACGUUAGCGGCGAACGGGUGAGUAACACGUAAGGAAUCUACCUAUAAGCGGGGGAUAACAUUCGGAAACGGGUGCUAAUACCGCAUAAUAUCUUCUUCCGCAUGGAAGAAGAUUGAAAGACGGCUCUGCUGUCACUUAUAGAUGACCUUGCGGUGCAUUAGUUAGUUGGUGGGGUAACGGCCUACCAAGACGAUGAUGCAUAGCCGACCUGAGAGGGUGAUCGGCCACAUUGGGACUGAGACACGGCCCAAACUCCGACGGGAGGCAGAAGUAGGGAAUCUUCCGCAAUGGGCGAAAGCCUGACGGAGCAAUGCCGCGUGAGUGAAGAAGGCCUUCGGGUCGUAAAACUCUGUUAUAAGAGAAGAACAAAUUGUAGAGUAACUGCUACAGUCUUGACGGUAUCUUAUCAGAAAGCCACGGCUAACUACGUGCCAGCCGCCGCCGUAA
RNAcentral lists this ribosomal RNA (513 nucleotides) under uncultured bacterium. RNAcentral's name for it is "partial 16S ribosomal RNA". It matches the Rfam family "Bacterial small subunit ribosomal RNA", at positions 28 to 523 of the family's 1533-position model. The record is from RNAcentral.